This 425-nucleotide ribosomal RNA is filed under the name uncultured bacterium. RNAcentral describes it as "bacterial SSU rRNA". It matches the Rfam family "Bacterial small subunit ribosomal RNA", at positions 356 to 773 of the family's 1533-position model. The record is from RNAcentral.
GGGGAAUCUUGCGCAAAUGCGGGAAACCGUGACGCAGCGACGCCGCGUGGGGGAAGAAGGCCUUCGGGUUGUAAACCUCUUUCAGGAGGGACGAAGCUACUCGGGUUAAUAGCCCAGAGGGUGACGGUACCUUCAGAAGAAGCCCCGGCUAACUACGUGCCAGCAGCCGCGGUAAUACGGAGGGUGCAAGCGUUAUCCGGAUUCACUGGGUUUAAAGGGUGCGUAGGCGGGCAGGUAAGUCAGUGGUGAAAUCUUCGAGCUUAACUCGGAAACUGCCUUUGAUACUAUCUGUCUUGAAUAUUGUGGAGGUAAGCGGAAUAUGUCAUGUAGCGGUGAAAUGCUUAGAUAUGACAUAGAACACCUAUUGCGAAGGCAGCUUACUACGCAUAUAUUGACGCUGAGGCACGAAAGCGUGGGGAUCAAAC